This 270-nucleotide ribosomal RNA is filed under the name uncultured bacterium. RNAcentral's name for it is "partial 16S ribosomal RNA". The record is from RNAcentral.
CUGCUGCCUUCCGUAGGAGUUUGGGCCGUGUCUCAGUCCCAAUGUGGCCGGUCACCCUCUCAGGUCGGCUACUGAUCGUCGCCUUGGUGGGCUGUUAUCUCACCAACUAGCUAAUCAGAUGCGGGCCCAUCUUUUACCGAAUAAAUCCUUUCUUUCCUAGAAGAUGCCUUCCAAGAACCGUAUGCGGUAUUAGUCACCGUUUCCAGUGAUUAUUCCCCAGUAAAAGGCAGGUUACCCACACGUUACUCACCCGUCCGCCGCUAAAAUAAU